Molecule: ribosomal RNA, 722 nt
Filed under: uncultured bacterium
Lineage: Bacteria
Description: bacterial SSU rRNA
Rfam family: Bacterial small subunit ribosomal RNA
Source: RNAcentral
ACACGUGGGCAACCUGCCCAAAAGAGGGGGAUAACACUUGGAAACAGGUGCUAAUACCGCAUAACCAUAGUUACCGCAUGGUAGCUAUGUAAAAGGUGGCUAUGCUACCGCUUUUGGAUGGGCCCGCGGCGCAUUAGCUAGUUGGUGGGGUAAAGGCUUACCAAGGCAAUGAUGCGUAGCCGAACUGAGAGGUUGAUCGGCCACAUUGGGACUGAGACACGGCCCAAACUCCUACGGGAGGCAGCAGUAGGGAAUCUUCCACAAUGGGCGAAAGCCUGAUGGAGCAACGCCGCGUGGGUGAAGAAGGUCUUCGGAUCGUAAAACCCUGUUGUUAGAGAAGAAAGUGCGUGAGAGUAACUGUUCACGUUUCGACGGUAUCUAACCAGAAAGCCACGGCUAACUACGUGCCAGCAGCCGCGGUAAUACGUAGGUGGCAAGCGUUAUCCGGAUUUAUUGGGCGUAAAGGGAACGCAGGCGGUCUUUUAAGUCUGAUGUGAAAGCCUUCGGCUUAACCGGAGUAGUGCAUUGGAAACUGGGAGACUUGAGUGCAGAAGAGGAGAGUGGAACUCCAUGUGUAGCGGUGAAAUGCGUAGAUAUAUGGAAGAACACCAGUGGCGAAAGCGGCUCUCUGGUCUGUAACUGACGCUGAGGUUCGAAAGCGUGGGUAGCAAACAGGAUUAGAUACCCUGGUAGUCCACGCCGUAAACGAUGAAUGCUAAGUG